CAAAAGACGAGUGAAAGUAACCUGGUUGUCACAUACCCCCAGCUUAGAGGUGCUUCACCCUGCCCCAAGGUGGGGAAAGAUCAAGUGCAGACUGAGCUGUGGCCAACGUUUGCAGACCAGGAAUCCACACUAGCUCUAAUCAGAGAGCCCUUGGUGUGCGGGAACUGCCAGUUUGCCGACGUGAAAAGAGUCCCAGACUGGGUAAUGGUGAGCCCUGAAGUCGCACCCCAGCUCUGCCACUCAGUGAGCACGGCAACAUCCCUAAUCCUGACCAGCCAUGGAGAGGUUCGGUUCUUACAAG
Molecule: long non-coding RNA, 301 nt
Filed under: Homo sapiens (human)
Lineage: Eukaryota; Metazoa; Chordata; Mammalia; Primates; Hominidae
Description: non-protein coding lnc-MECR-1:4
Source: RNAcentral